UUAGAGGUUCCAAUUAAUUUGGCUAAUUCCACGAUAGUGCAUGAGAGAAAUUUAAAGUUUAAUCCUCUUUUGAGAGAGUUAAUUAUGAGUGGACGCUAGUCCCUUUGGGGCAUUAACGGUCACUUUAAUCCAAAUUUUGAUAGCCCAGUGGAAUUGAUUGUGGAACUUAAUAAUGAACUACUUGAUUCUAGGAGACAUUUGGCUAUUACCUUCGAGAAAAAUGUGAAACUCAAUAAUAUCAAUCCUAUUGAAAUUGAUAUUUCGGCUGGGAAAGUAAAGGGAUCCCGGCUUUGAAAGGAAGGAGAUCAGGAAUUAAGAGGGGUACUGUCUGAAGUGGUGGUGUUAUUAGUAAGAUAAUUCGAGAACGAAGGAAGUGAUUUAAAAAUUCUGAGAGUACAAGGGUUUCGCUGUCAGAUACAAUAAAUUCCAUGACCAAACUCAUCAACUCACAAAUUAAUAAUGAGGUUGAGAUGAGGAACUUGAACAACGAUGGGAAACGCAGUGAAGGCACAUGCUAGCCAAGAGAUUUGUCCUGAUAGUCGUAAGCGAAUGUGGCUUUGGGAUGCUUUGAAGGUGACUAUUCUAUAUUUUGAUUACAUUGGGUGGCAAUGGGAGAUUUUAAUGCGAUUUUAGCAUCUAAUGAUAAGAGGGAAGGGAAUGGUGAGUCAAUGGAAAAAGAUGUCCCUUUUUUGAAGACUUUAUAGACUCUUCUUUGGUACAUGAUUUGGAUUUUAGAGGUACUCCUUUUACGUGGCAGAGGGGUGGAGUUUCGAAGUGUCUUGAUAGAACUAUUGGGAAUGAUGCGUGGCUUGUGGCAUUCUAAAACUAUUCUGUAACCUAUCUCCCCAGACUCAAGUCUGAUCACAGGCUUAUUCUUCUAUCAUUACAACUUGUGCGUCAUUAAUCUUUGAGCCGUCUAUUUCGUUUUCUGGCAGGAUAGUUUGAGCAUGUAGAGUUUUUUGAAUUCGUUAAGAAAAAUUAAAAUGUUGUUGGUUCUAUGUCCAGUUCGAUUUCUAAUUUCACAAGUUAGCUUAAGGAUUGGAAUAAGAAGGUGUAUGGCCAUAAUGGGUUACGUAAAAAAAGACUGUUUCAAAAACUCAAUACGAUUAAGAGAGGUAUGAAUUAUUCACAGUCUGAUCAUUUAUUUUAGUCAGAAUUGGAACAUGUCUUGUAUCAUGAUGAACUUGUUUGGAAACAAAAGGUAAAGUGUGAGUGGCUUUCUUUGGGAGAUCGCAAUAUAAAAUUUUUUCAUAGGCACACCCUGAAAAGGAGAGAGUGGAAUUAGACUAUGGAUUUAAAAAACGUUAAGGGGGAGUGGACUUUUGAUGAGAAGGAACUACGUCAUGGGGCGAUCCGAUUCUUCGAGAAUUUGUAUGGUGAGGACCCAGGAUCGAUGAGGGGACUUCUCACUAGUUUAUUUCCGAAGCUUGAAGAUAGUGAGAUCCAACUUUUGAGCAAACCAGUUCCCAACAAGGAGAUAAAGUCUACCAUGUUUGAUAUGAGUCCUCUGAAGGUGUCGGGGAGUGACAGAUUUCAUGGCCUCUUUUUCAAAGUCAAUGGAAUUGUCUUGGGGAUUUGGUUUGUACCUAGGUCAAGAAUGUUUUUAAUGGAAAAAAAAUUGAUCCGGAGCUGAACAAUGCCUUAAUAUUUUUCAUUCCUAAGGUUUCGAAUCUAAAAUGUUUCUCUUAAUUUUGAUUGAUUAGUAUGUGCUCAGUUCUCUACAAGUUGGUAAUAAAAAUCAUUGUCAAUUGGUUUAAACUAGUGUUCCCAAGAAUAAUUGGCCAAGAGUAGAUUGGGUUUAUUGCGGGAAAGAGCACCAUGAAUAACAUUGUUAUUGCUUAGGAAGUGUUUCAUUCCAUGAAAAUCAAGAAGACUAGGAGCUGGUUGGCCAUUAAGAUUGAUCUUGAGAAGGCUUAUGGUCGAGUGCGUUAGGAGUUUAUUAGUGCAUCUCUCCAAGCUGUAAGUAUUUUAAAUUACCUUUGUAAUGUGAUUAUAUUUGCUAUCUCUAACUCCACUAUACAAAUUUUAUGGAAUGGAACACCAACUUAGAAAUUUUAGUUGAUUAAAGGGUUCGUCAAUGGUGCCCGCUAUCCUCUUAUAUCUCUGUUCUGUGCAUGGAAUGGCUCGACCAUAGUAUCCAAUCUAAUAUUAAUUCUAGACAUUAGAGACCUAUUUGUCUAUCUUGAUCGGGCCUUCCCCUAUCUCACAUUUUUUUUUUUACAGAUGACUCGAUUCUGUUUGGUCAAGCUAAAGAGGAUCAAGCUACAGUCUUGAAUGAAGUGUUGGAUAGUUUAUGUGAGUCUUCAAGAGUACGUAAUCUUUGGAACUAUCUGGGAAUACCCCUAUUUCAUGGCAGAGUACCCAAUAGCUCUUUCUGUUUUGUGGUGGACAAGGUUCAGAGUAAAUUGUAGGGUUGAGAUGUAAGGUUGUUGUCUCCUGCUAGUAGGGCCACCCUAGCGCAAUCAGUUCUACUGAUGAUUCCCACUUAUUUCAUGCAGUCAAUGCUGAUUCCUAAGGAUUUUUGUGAGGAAAUCGAACGUAUGGUGUAUUAGUUUGUUUGGGGAUCCUCGAGUAGUGGUAAGAAAGUGGCUUUGGUUGGUUGGAAGGAUGUGUGUCGGCCUCAAGAACAUGGCGGUCUUGAUUUUCGAAAGUUGCAAGAUCAUAACACUUGCUUCAUGAUGAAGUUGGGCUUUAAACUUGUGGCUAAUUCUAAAGCUCUUUGCGUAUAGGUACUUCGAACGAAGUAUGGGGUGGCUUUUGGUAUUCAAGAAACUUUAUCCCAUAGUAGAAGGUCUUUCCUGUGAAGAGCUCUUACUAAGGUUUGGCGACUUAUUCAAGAGAUUCUACCUUGGUCAGUAGGGAAUAGGAGAAAUAUCAAGUGUUGGCGUGAUCCUUGGAUUCCAAAUGUAUGGCCUUUCGUUAAUCUAAUUCUCAGACAUUAUAUUUUGGAUUUGGUCUAUUUUCUCAGUGAUAUGGUUGCAACAGAUGGUACUCGGAACCUUGAUUUGUUUCAGAUCUAGUUGCAUGAGACAGUCAUUCAAAAGGUUUUUGGGAUACCCCCCGUUACAUUCAGCAGCAGGAGUUGGCAAGAUAAUCUAGGGGGAAUGAUGAUGAGGUUUUUUUUCUGUUAAAAGUGCCUUUGGAAACUUCAGAAACGUUCAUGUAAACUGAAAGAAGAUGUCUAGAAGAUCCCUUGGAAGUUCAAGCAGAGAUUAAUCACCAGCACAAAAAGUGUUUGUUGGGGCUUGGAUCAUAGUUCAACAUGUAGAGUUUGUGGUCAUAUCUCUAAAGAUGUGUCACAUAUCAUAAGGGAUUGUCCUGCAGCAAUAAAUAUUUGAAACUUUUUAAUUCCCAUUGAUUGACUUCUCAGGUUUUACUUUGGUAAUCUAUAGGAAUGGCUCGUCUCAAAUCUAUAGAACCAAUAUAACAUUUGCUUUGGAGAGGUCGAUUGGGAAUGUCUUUUUGGGAUUAUCAUCUGGCGUAUUUGGAAGAAUCACAAUCUUUUUAUCUUUCAGGGUGCGACCUGGAGAAGUAAUAAUACUAUGAAGGUCUCGUAUAGUUGGGCCAAACAAUUCUUGAUGUCUAGUAAGAGUACAUCGAGUACGGUUCAGGAUCUGAUUUUAUGCUCUAGCUCAUCUAAGAGUUGGGUCUACUUGAAUAAAAACAGUUUCGUUAGGCUUGAGGAUGGUUCUGUGGUAGCAGGAGGAAUUGUGAGAUACCGAAAUGGAGAGUGGAUCAUUGGUUUUAAUUGGUUCUUGGGGAGCUGUUCAUAUUUAAAGUUGAAUUGUGGGGCAUAUUGGAUGGAUUAGACAUCUUAAUUGAUCGAGGUUUUGGUAAUGCGCUGAUCCAGAUUGGUAGUUUUGAGGUGGUUACGGCCAUCCAAUGGAGUUUUAUAAGAAGGUCUAAUUCAACUUUGAUUUGGAGAAUUCUCUGGUUAUUGUCUCAUAUUCUUCAUUGGAAUGUAUGUUACAUACCUAGAGAAGAGAAUCAGGAAGCAGAUAGUAUGACUAAGUUGGCUCAUUUUGGAAGCCAAUGAUUGCGAAUGUUUGAAAUAUUCCUGUUUGGAAAGUUGGGCUUGUUGAUGUAGUUUGUUUCUUAUAA
This is a long non-coding RNA of Gossypium arboreum, 4101 nucleotides long. RefSeq lists it as uncharacterized. The record is from RefSeq and is a predicted model, not a curated record. The transcript has 3 exons. NCBI's taxonomy places the organism in Eukaryota, Viridiplantae, Streptophyta, Magnoliopsida, Malvales, Malvaceae.